UUAAAUAUAUUUUACAGAUAAGGAAAUUGAAUAUCAUAGAGAUAAAGAGACAAACACGGGGGAGUUUGGGAAUUAUUUUUUUCCUUCCUUCCUUCCUUCCUUCCUUCUUUCCUUCCUUUCUUUCUUUCUCUUUCUUUCUUUCUUUCUUUCUUUCUUUCUUUCUUUCUUUCUUUCUUUCUCUUUCUUUCUUUCUUUCUUUCUCUCUUUCUUCUUUCUUUCUUUCUCUCUCCCUCCUCUCUCUUUCUUUCCUUCUUUCUUUCUCUCUUUCCUUCCUUCCUUCCUUCCUUCCUUCCUUCCUUCCUUCCUUUCUUCUUUCUUUCUCUUUCUUUCUUUCUUUCUUUCUUUCUUUCUUUCUUUCUUUCUUUCUUUCUUUCUUUCUUUCUUUCCCUCCUUGGAGUUUGCAGAAGGAAAAUAUCUUUCAGGGCUCUAUUUUCUCUUGAUCGGAAAAUGCCCAGCACCAAAACACACCUCCCUUGGCAUCCUGUCAUUUUUCUUUUAAAAUUUCUUAGCUAUGAUGAAUCUGAUGCAGCCAGCUUCAUGGCUUCUGGCUUCUCUCCUUUCAGUCUGACCCAACAGUAGCUACCAGAGAGGUCUCCCUAAAAGGCAAAAAGACCAAGCCUUUCUCCUGCUUAGAACCUUCCCUGGCUUCCCAUUCCUUUUAGGGUAAAGUGCAAACUGCACACCGUGAUCCAGGCCCUGCUGACUCACCUGCUGAGAAUCCCCUCAUUCUUCGACACUUGGGUUAGUUCUUUAGGGCUGUCAUUCCACAGGUCGCUUUAUGCUCCUUACCAUAUAGUAUCCCUUUGCCCCGACACCCUUCUGGCUCUUGACUGCCUGAUGGACUUCUAGUCUUUUUCCACCACUGCUCUCAAAUAUGCAGAGCUGCAUCUAGUCAUAUACCUGUAUGUGAUGGAGAGAAGCAGAAAGAGAGGUGGGGGGAGAGAGAAUGGGAGGGAGAUAGGGAGGCAGACAGAGAAGAGAGGAUAGGAGGGGAAAGAAAGGGAGGAAGACAAAGGGGCGAAGAGAAAGACAGAAGAGGGGAGAGGAGGAGAGGGGAGGGGAUAAGAGGGAUAAAGAAAGAGAGGAAGAGACAAGCAGAGAGAGAUGGGAAGGCUGAGAGAGAGAGUAAGGGAAGAGAGGGGAGGUGAGGGGAAAGGAAAGAAGGGAAGGAGAGAGGAGACAGAUGGGGAGGAAGAGAGGAAAAUAGAAGGAGAUAUCUAAAACGAUAUUUGCCCCCCACCAAAUGUUAAGUGAUUAUCCUUGGGGGGAAGAACUUUGGAAGUUACACUUUCAAUUUUGUAUUUUAAAAUUGUGUGUAUUUUUAGUCCACUUACAGAUACACUUUUUCCAAACAGCAUACAACGACAAGAAAGUAACAUUCAAAUAUUACCAGGUCACUUCAGCUGUGAAUUCUUUUCAGGACCCCCCUUUUUUCUUCCAGAAUUAUGCACAUCUUCCCUUCCACCCACCUGCCCCAAAUGGAGGGGUGUAGCUGGCCACCUGGGAGUUGUUGAAAGACAGGAAGAUCAGUGCCUUAUCUUCCUGGUCUCCAGUGUUCUGCACCGAACCCGGCCAGGACAGGCCGGGCCUUGUAAAUAUUGGUUUAAUGACCAGACGCUGGAAACUCAUUAUAACACCAUGCAUUGUCCAGGUUAAAUAAUGGAAAGGAUUAUUACAGCAAUGAUGCUGCAAUAUACUCUCAAUUAGCCAUGGCAAUGAGGAGCACGGGGACAGCUCAUGCCACUAAGCUGGGGAUCAUCAAAAGGCAAUUUUCCCUUCUGUGGACCACCAUGCCCUCUUUGUGUUUUAGUUAUUGGUGAUUCCCUAUGAAUACACCAUCCCCCACACCCACAUCCAUACACCUUUUUUCUUUUUCUUUUUAGGGCAGGGGCACUGACUCAAAUCUCAAUCAUAUCUGGUUGGAGUUGAUCACAAAACCAGCUAGUUUCUUAACACAGGUGAUGAACCGCCAGUGAGCAGCUGUUCUCAAAGCGUGGGCCCCGUAUUUGCAACCUCGGCAUUGCUGCCUGAGAACUUGUUAGUAAGGCACAUUUUGAGGUCCACCUCUGAAUCAGAAUCUUUAGGUUGGUGUUCAGAAAUCUACACUCCCAUGAGUUUUUCAGGCGAUUCUGAUGCAUGCUCAAGCUUCAGGAUCAUUGGCCCGAAAGGGGACUCAGUUGCUUGGGUUCCAUUUCUGGCUGUGCUGCUUGUUGGCUGUCCCACCUCUGGCAAGUCCCCUCACCUCUUCAUGUCUCUGCGUCCUCACCUGUAAUAUGGGUACAUCCACAGUGCCCAUCUCAUAGGAUGUGUCAGGAUGGGUGAAGAGCAGUCAAACAGCACUCACACUUAGUCCCAGCAGAUGCUACCUGGUACCAUAUUUCAUGGAGUAGAAGCUGCCUUUGAUCAUCAGACUCAUCCAGAAUUCACAUAGUAAGUGUAGGGCAUAAGUUUUCCUUAAAACAGUAUUUCUCAAACUUCAGCGUACACACAAAUCACCUGGGAAUGUUGUUAAAAGGCAGACUCCAAUUCAGCAGGGCUGAGGCCAGAGACGCUGCAUUCUUAGCAAGCUCUCAUGUGGGAGGAUGCUGCUGGUCCCUGGACCACAUUUUUGUUGUAUGGGUUGGAUCCAGAACCAGCACCUUUGUGUACGGAUUGGAUCUCACAGUGGGCUCACAUGAUGUGCUGGCAAUGGUCAUGGACUGGUCCUGGGACAGGGUGGUGGAACAGGAUGUAGUUCAUUUUGCUCAUUCUUCUCUGGCCAAAGGACAGCAAGGAUUGACAUAAGAACUGGAGACAUGGUUUGAGCUCCUUGUAAGCCCACUCACUGGCCUAAAGGAAGCCCUUUGAUCUCAGCAUCCUUAUCUGCCAAAUAGACCACUCAAUGCCCACCAAGUCCAUUCUAAGGGCAAGUGGGGAAAAUCAAAUACCCAUGUUCUCAGUGAGUGAAUUAAUGACAUAUCUUUCCUUGGGACCAUGGUUUUUCCAGAGUUUAAAAAUAAUGAAAUGAUGUGGAUAUUUAAAGGCAUCAGGACAAGGCAUUGCUGGUGAAGUUGGCUAAUUAUUACAUUACCAUAUGAUCAUCAUCGGUGUGAGUCAUAAGCCCUGCACUCUGAUUCUCUUCUGAGCACCAGCCCUAGGAAUGGCCAGUCCUUACAAUCACCCUGGAAUUCUGACAGUUCCAGGGGACACCUGUCAGGCCACCCUCCUGGGUGGGCUUAGCAUACUGAGGGCCAUGCAGAGGGAGACCCGGUUGUAUCCUCAAAGCCUCAUUACUACAACCAUCGUCUUUGCAGCCACUCUGAUUUCAAGGCACUGCUCACUUCCUAGGGGACAUGACAGGGCUGGAGAGAGAAGGGGUCAUGCACCGCUCAGUUCCAGAAUGAACAAAGAACACUUAUGAGGGAGAGAAAAAAUGCCUCUUGACCGCCCCCAGCAUAUGUAUGCACAAAUACACACACAAACACACACAUACACACAUGCAUGCACAUGCACACACAUACACGUGCACGCACACGCAUACACACACACACACACACACACACACAGGCUGCCCCAGCCUGCAUGUCACCAUCAAUCAGCGCCUUCCCACUUGCCGUUUGCAGGCAGAGUUCCCCACAGAUGUGCUCGGGGGGCUGGGAGAAGGAGAAGAAGGUGGAGCUGGGGCUAGGGAGGGAGGGAGGCAGAGAUGUCCUCAAAGAGUUAAAACCUUGCCUCACCAGACUGCGAAUCCUCCUCGACUCUCCCCCACCCCCAUCCCCCUCAAUCCAGCCAAACAACAGCUUGACAUUUUCCAUCCUUCACGAGAAAGACAAAGACGGGAAGAUAUUCCCAUGAUCCCUUUCUGCAUGCCUAACCGUGAGCUCAGGUGCCGUAGCGUUUGCCCUGCGCCGGCCCCAUCAACAUGAAGGGCGAACUCAUCCUUUCUGCAUCUUUUUCUCGCCACUGCUUGAUUAAUUGGCUGACUACUACGCCGGCGGAAUACCUAAUGCUUUUCCUUCCCCUAUUCUUCCUUCACAGUUUUUUUUUCCUCCUUUGCUCCAUUUACAUAUACUUUAUAUUCCAUAAUUUUCACCCAAAAAGAAAAAAAAAAAAGAGCGGGCCCAUCUCAGUAAUUUGAUGUAAUGACGGCAUGUCACCAAAAAGAGGAAUUAGAAAAAUCUGUAGGUAUUUAAUUUAUUCUUGUUUUUUUUUUUUUUUUUGAAGUAGAGCUCUCUGAGAAAAGCAUUAAUAUUCAUGGGCAAGAGAAAAAAGUAUACUCAAUAGGAAAAUUCCAGAUUUUUUAGGGGUGGGGAGGCAGCUACAUUCAAUGCAUUUUUAAGCACCAUUAUUUAACUAAUAGUGCCUGAGUCCCUCUGGCCCUAGUUCCUCCCUUUCAAUGAAAAUAAGUGGGUUUUAGUUUGCCUUCAAGGGUUGUGUGUGUUGGGCUCACACCCACGCUGUUGAAGCAGGAAAGCUGGGCUCUGUGCUUUCCUCCCCUCCUGGGAGGACUCAAAUGAAGAAGAAAAACAUAAAUAAAGGCCUUUCAGAGUCCCAGGGCUGGAGUUUUGGUUCUCCUUCAGCCUCCCCUGUUGGCUGUCAUAGUUUUCUGAUGGCUCUACAGACAGAACAAUUUCCUUGAGGUUUCCCACUAGACCAACCCCUUCCUGUUAACUUGGGUUUGGGUUUUAUGCUAUUAAUUAACUACUUACUUAUCAAAAUAAGUGUUGAGUUAUACCAUAAUCAUGAUCGUUACCAAUGAAGCAGGAAAUAAAAUAAUGAAGCAUCAGACCGAUGCCAUAAAUAUGAGACCUGAGACCUGGAAUGGGAGCAGUUUUUCUCUCUCCAAGGCAGGUCUUUCCAAAGGGUCCCAGGGUGUGUGGCUCUCCUAGUAACAGUGGUAAGUUUGAGGCAUCUGAGGAUUUGACUCAGUCUAGUAGGAAGAUGAGUUCUCAGCCAUGGGGACCCAAAUGCCCACCCUCAUCUUAAUCAGUGGGAUCGGAAACAUGUAUGAGUUUAUGGGCCCUGAGUCUAAAUUAUUUGCCAAUUGUGAUCAUAAAAAUUAUUAUUAGCAUAAUGAUUAUAAUAAGCAAUUCUAUGUACUAUUAUUUUUCUUUAUUUUUAAAUGGGGUUAUAACUUACAUUAAGCUGCACGAAUCUUAUGUGCAGCUUGAUGAAUAUUUUACCCAUGUUUGUACUUUACCCA
This 5182-nucleotide long non-coding RNA is filed under the name Homo sapiens (human). RNAcentral describes it as "novel transcript". The record is from RNAcentral. Lineage: Eukaryota; Metazoa; Chordata; Mammalia; Primates; Hominidae.